GUGCUCAACAGGAAAUCUGGUGUCUUAUUUUCAGUCGAGCUGAAAGCCAUGAAACUCAUUCUGCGGUGGAUUUUUUGCUUCAGUUUAGGUACAUACCUACUUUAUGAAGGAUUUCGCAUCUCAAAACAUAGUCAAAAGAUUCCCCUCACAGGUUCUUUUUAAACUUUAUUAUUGAAGGAAUGGUUCCUAACAAAACACCCUUGUGUUGUUCCAAACACAUGACUUUCUUUCAUCCGUAGAACACAAAAGAAGAUAUUUGUAAGAAUUUGCAGCCUGAUUUUAGUGACAGCUUUUAUACCUUUUUUUUCUCAGAGCGUAGCCUGCAUAGUGCAAAAAGAAGUCCAUACAGCAAGUCUUUUUAAGUUGUACGGUAGAUUUGUAUGAGAUAUAGAUCCACAAAUAAGAAUACUUUUCAUUUUACUGUAUUGCUUUCCAUCAAGCAAUUUUUUUAUACUUCUUGCUUGCUUUGUAUAUUAUUUUAUUUAUUUUUCUUAUAAAUUCUAUCAUUCCAAAGGUUUGGGGUCAGAAAGAGUUUUUUUUUUUUUAAGAAAUUAAUAUUCAGCAUGAUGCAUUAAUUUGAUCGAAAGUGAUCAACGUUUUUUUUAAUUUCUAUUCAUCAAAAAAUCCUGAAAUAAUCUAUCACAGAUUUCACAAAAGUAUGAAGCAGCACAACUGUUUUCAACAUUGAGAAUAGCAGAAAUGUUUCUUGAGCAACAUCUUACAGACCCCGAACUUUUGAACUGAGAUGUAUACAGGCUAUAGGCGAAUUAAUGCAAAGUCUCAACAAACUAGAAUUUUUAUUUCGGUCAGUUUUAGGGAGUUUUAAGUCUUCAGUUUCUCUCCAUGGUUUCACUACGAUUGUCGUAAGAUAUACUGAUCUUCAAUAUAUUGAACUGGUAUGUAUGACCAUUGUAGGCCAUUGUACAUUUUUAUUCAUGCAGGUUUUGUCACUGAUUGCCAAGUGAAUCGUUAUGGAUUGAAAGGAAGCUCAAUCCGUCUGAGCAUCAGUCCCAGAAAUCAGUCACUAACUAAUGUUGGAUGGCAACGAUUCAACAGGAAAGAGGUGCUUACAGACGCAAAAGAAGUUUCCCCUCAUUUUAAGAAAAGAAUGAUCCUAAACGUCUCAGACUGGUCUUUGACCAUACACAACCUUGAGGAAAAUGACAGUGGACUGUAUGAAGCCAUUAAGAAGUGGGAGGUUGAACCUCUGGCUGCAUUCACACUUACAGUGGAGAACACUGUCUCUAAGCCUGUAAUCAGAGUGGAUCAACAUGACUUUAAUUCGUCUGCUGAAGUGUGUCGGGCUGCAGUGAACUGUUCAGCUGAUGGCAGCUGGGCCACGUUUGACUGCCACCAAAAUGUCUGUACAAAGAUACAAUCCUCUCCAUUCUCCAUUAACAUCACUGUCACUGCACUGGACAGCAGUGGCAUCAAAUGCAACGUCAACAACAACGUGAGCAUGAAUCAUUCUCAGACUCCCUUUACGUGCCAUGAAAAGCAGAAAAGUGAUUAUCGUUUUCUCCCAUCGCUCAUCUUCUGGAUCGUUGGCACCGUUUGUGGUGGUGUUUUGUUGGGUUUGGUUAUGGGUGGGAUUGUAGCAUUUGUCAAGAGAAGAAAAUGUUCAAAAGUUCAUCCACAGUCCAGUCGUGUUGUGAUUGAACAGCAUCAUGAAACAAUUUACUGCACCGUGGAAAAGCCGGCCACAUCCCAGACACAUCCAGGAAACAACACUGUCAGCAACAAAGUAGAAACCAUCUACGACACUCCAUCACGACAUACCAAGGCUUGUCAAGUAGACAGUGUGGAGGUGAUGAGAGACAAUCAGGAGCAACAGCAAUCUGGACAAGACAGAACUAUUCAAGUAAAAGCUACAGUUCACCAGGCAGCAGAACCCGAUUCAGAUCCAAUAAACACUGUUUACUGUAAACUGGGAGAGAUAUGACACAAACACAUACUGAGACGUCACUUCAGUGGAGAUUUAAAU
Molecule: long non-coding RNA, 1984 nt
Organism: Cyprinus carpio (common carp)
Lineage: Eukaryota; Metazoa; Chordata; Actinopteri; Cypriniformes; Cyprinidae
Source: Ensembl